RNAcentral lists this RNase P RNA (392 nucleotides) under Bartonella sp. 220B. RNAcentral's name for it is "Bartonella sp. 220 RNase P RNA component class A". It matches the Rfam family "Bacterial RNase P class A". Rfam says of the family: Ribonuclease P (RNase P) is a ubiquitous endoribonuclease, found in archaea, bacteria and eukarya as well as chloroplasts and mitochondria. The record is from RNAcentral. Lineage: Bacteria; Pseudomonadati; Pseudomonadota; Alphaproteobacteria; Hyphomicrobiales; Bartonellaceae.
UCAGUCGGCUGGGCAGCCGCGCUUGUUUCAUGCUUCAAGGUGUGCAGGUGAGGAAAGUCCGGGCUCCACGGAAAAACGGUGCCGGGUAACACCCGGCAGGGGCGACCCUAGGGAAAGUGCCACAGAAAGCAAACCGCCUAUUUUUAUAGGUAAGGGUGAAAGGGUGGGGUAAGAGCCCACCGCGCAUUCAGUAAUGAAUGUGGCAAGGUAAACCCCACCGGGAGCAAGACCAAAUAGAAAUGACGCGCAAGGCUUAACUUGCAGCCGGUUUCCGGGCGAGUCAUUCGGGUAGGUUGCACGAGGCGGGUGGUAACAUCCGUCCUAGAUGAAUGGUUGCCAUGGAAAGUAUAAGCUUUACCAUACAGAACCCGGCUUAUAGGCCGACUGAUAUU